GGAAUAGAAGAACUCGUCUCUUAACUUUUAACUAAAAAAGUUAAGAACCGGCUAUUAAAUAAAAUAUUUAAGAACCGGUUCUUAGCUUUUUUAGUUAAAAGUCAAGAGACGAUAAGAACUCCAUCCU
Molecule: microRNA precursor, 127 nt
Organism: Brassica oleracea var. oleracea
Lineage: Eukaryota; Viridiplantae; Streptophyta; Magnoliopsida; Brassicales; Brassicaceae
Rfam family: MIR9563 microRNA precursor family
Source: Rfam